GAGGUCCACGUAGCAGAAGAUGCUUUUUCUGACUGAUGGAGAGGCUUGGAACUGAAUGAGUCUUGUGAAACCAGAAUUAAGGAGAAUGGGAGGUACUCCAAGCACAGGACCUGUGGACAAAUCACCUACAGAUUCUAUAAAAUGGAAAUAAUGUUACUUGUUGUGGUACUCUUAAACAACUUCAAAAUCUUCAAAUGGAAGGCAAAGAACGUACCAGUGUCUUUUAUACAUCAUAUAAAAGCCGUAUAUCACUAAACAUCAUUCAAGAACUGG
This is a long non-coding RNA of Struthio camelus australis, 273 nucleotides long. RefSeq lists it as uncharacterized. NCBI's taxonomy places the organism in Eukaryota, Metazoa, Chordata, Aves, Struthioniformes, Struthionidae. The record is from RefSeq and is a predicted model, not a curated record.